AACGCGAAGAACCUUACCUAGACUUGACAUUAGCCUGCAUUACCCUUAAUCGGGGAAGCCCCUUCGGGAGCAGGAAGACAGGUGGUGCAUGGUUGUCGUCAGCUCGUGUCGUGAGAUGUUGGGUUAAGUCCCGCAACGAGCGCAACCCCUAUUGUUAGUUGCUACCAUUAAGUUGAGCACUCUAGCAAGACUGCCGUGGUUAACGCGGAGGAAGGUGGGGAUGACGUCAAAUCAUCAUGCCCCUUAUGUCUAGGGCUACACACGUGCUACAAUGGCGAGUACAAAAAGAAGCAAAACCGCGAGGUGGAGCAAAACUUUUAAAACUCGUCUCAGUUCGGAUUGUAGGCUGAAACUCGCCUACAUGAAGCCGGAGUUGCUAGUAAUCGCGAAUCAGAAUGUCGCGGUGAAUACGUUCCCGGG
This 420-nucleotide ribosomal RNA is filed under the name uncultured bacterium. RNAcentral describes it as "bacterial SSU rRNA". It matches the Rfam family "Bacterial small subunit ribosomal RNA", at positions 958 to 1378 of the family's 1533-position model. The record is from RNAcentral.